UCGGACACGUUUAUUGCUAGAAUCAGGUCUUAAGUUCUAAAGCGGGUCAGAAAUAUCCCGCAGUGAGGAAAUGUUGUAAUCAUUGUAAAAAUAAUUAGCAGGUGACUAAGAUCAUGACCACAACUGACAAAGACGUGUGCAGAUCCCACGAAAAUAGGAACAUUUGCUCGACUGUCAACUUUACAAAUAAAAUCGGGCUCCAACCCAGGAGUGGCCGAGGGGCACUGGCGAGGGAAGGGCUGUCGGCGCUGCCGCCCGAUGCCUAGCACGACUGAGACCCCUCUGCCACAUGGCGGGGACGCGGGGUUCCCACCGCGUGGCCGAGCAGAAAUUCCUUGAACUUCUCCCCCAUCCAAGGAAUUGUGGCAUCUCGGAGGGCUGGACCGGCACACGCCGGCUCAGGAGGGUGCCAGGGUCUGGGAAUGUUCUCUUCACAACAGAACAGGAAUGUACAGUCAGCUUCUGUAAAGUGCUCCGAUACUCAGUACAAAAAUACAAAACACUGAUGAUAAACAUGGCACACAUGGGAUCUGACGGGGGAAGGACUUGGCCCUGGCAGGGGCUCACAUGUACCCCACUGG
RNAcentral lists this long non-coding RNA (581 nucleotides) under Homo sapiens (human). RNAcentral's name for it is "HSALNT0255206". Lineage: Eukaryota; Metazoa; Chordata; Mammalia; Primates; Hominidae. The record is from RNAcentral.